CGGAUUGUAGGCUGCAACUCGCCUACAUGAAGUCGGAAUUGCUAGUAAUCGCGGAUCAGCAUGCCGCGGUGAAUACGUUCCCGGGCCUUGUACACACCGCCCGUCACACCAUGGGAGUCGGUAACACCCGAAGCCUGUAGUCUAACCGCAAGGAGGACGCAGUCGAAGGUGGGAUUGAUGACUGGGGUGAAGUCGUAACAAGGUAUC
Molecule: ribosomal RNA, 207 nt
Filed under: uncultured bacterium
Lineage: Bacteria
Description: partial 16S ribosomal RNA
Rfam family: Bacterial small subunit ribosomal RNA
Source: RNAcentral